GUUUGAAGCUACACACGAAGAUGCAAGUUUCAUCUUUAUUAUUGUGAUUAUGGAUGAACUAACUGCGGUGGCAAAUGGUGUCUACCAGUAAGGCUGCCCUCCAAUAGUCCAUCUCUAUGCAUGUUGCUGCAAUGCAAAGAUGAAUGAAAAGAAGAUUCCAGAAGAUACCUGUUUGAUCACACAAGGCAAGAGAUUGGCAAAAGAGACGGACGGGAUGACCAGGACAUGUGGAGAACCAGAAGUCGUUAUUGUCUGAGGAGUGAGGCGGAUUGAGACAUGGCUGGAGGAAAAUGCAGCCCAGGGCGAUAGCCUCGAUGGGCGCAGGACCCUCAUAGGGGAAACCAAGACCUACAAACACCUGAUGGGACAGGGGGGAUGGUCUUAUUAAUGUGCUUUUAAAGGAGGCACCAUCAGCUUGUGUCUGACUUUGGCUGUGCGGAGGAGUUGCAGGAAGUGUUGCUGGGAGAGCAGGCCGUGGUUUCUCACAAAGCUGGGCAAGGUGGAGACAUGUCCAGGAGGCUGGUAGACAGUAGCAUGAAUCUCCAGUUCUUCACUAAUCACCUGUACAUAUUCAGAUUUU
Long non-coding RNA from Dunckerocampus dactyliophorus (ringed pipefish), 580 nucleotides. RefSeq lists it as uncharacterized. Lineage: Eukaryota; Metazoa; Chordata; Actinopteri; Syngnathiformes; Syngnathidae. The record is from RefSeq and is a predicted model, not a curated record. The transcript has 4 exons.